Molecule: ribosomal RNA, 506 nt
Filed under: uncultured bacterium
Lineage: Bacteria
Description: partial 16S ribosomal RNA
Rfam family: Bacterial small subunit ribosomal RNA
Source: RNAcentral
AUUGAACGCUGGCGGCAGGCCUAACACAUGCAAGUCGAACGGCAGCACAGAAGAGCUUGCUCUUUGGGUGGCGAGUGGCGGACGGGUGAGUAAUGUCUGGGAAACUGCCCGAUGGAGGGGGAUAACUACUGGAAACGGUAGCUAAUACCGCAUAACGUCGCAAGACCAAAGUGGGGGACCUUCGGGCCUCACACCAUCGGAUGUGCCCAGAUGGGAUUAGCUAGUAGGUGGGGUAAUGGCUCACCUAGGCGACGAUCCCUAGCUGGUCUGAGGGGAUGACCAGCCACACUGGAACUGAGACACGGUCCAGACUCCUACGGGAGGCAGCAGUGGGGAAUAUUGGACAAGGGGCGCAAGCCUGAUCCAGCCAUACCGCGUGGGUGAAGAAGGCCUUCGGGUUGUAAACUGCUUUUGUACGGAACGAAAAGCCCCGGGUUAAUACCCUGGGGUCAUGACGGUACCGUAAGAAUAAGCACCGGCUAACUACGUGCCAGCCGCCGCCGUAA